This 439-nucleotide ribosomal RNA is filed under the name uncultured bacterium. RNAcentral's name for it is "partial 16S ribosomal RNA". It matches the Rfam family "Bacterial small subunit ribosomal RNA", at positions 338 to 795 of the family's 1533-position model. The record is from RNAcentral.
CCUACGGGAGGCAGCAGUGGGGGAUAUUGGACAAUGGGGGAAACCCUGAUCCAGCGAUGCCGCGUGAGGGAAGAAGGUUUUCGGAUUGUAAACCUCUGUGGAUGGGGACGAUAAUGACGGUACCCCUUUAGUAAGCCACGGCUAACUACGUGCCAGCAGCCGCGGUAAUACGUAGGUGCCGAGCGUUAUCCGGAUUUAUGGGGUUUAAAGGGUGCGUAGGCGGAUUUGUAAGUCAGCGGUAAAAAUGCGGGGCUCAACGCCGUAUCGCCGUUGAAACUGCAGGUCUUGAGUGAGCGAGAAGUAUGCGGAAUGCGUGGUGUAGCGGUGAAAUGCAUAGAUAUCACGCAGAACCCCGAUUGCGAAGGCAGCAUACCGGGGCUCAACUGACGCUGAGGCACGAAAGCGUGGGGAUCGAACAGGAUUAGAUACCCGUGUAGUC